ACGAACGCUGGCGGCGUGCUUAACCCAUGCAAGUCGAACGGUGAAGCCCUUCGGGGUGGAUCAGUGGCGAACGGGUGAGUAACACGUGAGCAACCUGCCCCUGGCUCUGGGACAACCACUGGAAACGGUGGCUAAUACCGGAUACGACCCGCCUCGGCAUCGAGUGUGGGUGGAAAGUUUUUCGGCUGGGGAUGGGCUCGCGGCCUAUCAGCUUGUUGGUGAGGUGAAGGCUCACCAAGGCGACGACGGGUAGCCGGCCUGAGAGGGCGACCGGCCACACUGGGACUGAGACACGGCCCAGACUCCUACGGGAGGCAGCAGUGGGGAAUAUUGCACAAUGGGCGAAAGCCUGAUGCAGCGACGCCGCGUGAGGGAUGACGGCCUUCGGGUUGUAAACCUCUUUCAGCUCCGAAGAAGCGAAAGUGACGGUAGGAGCAGAAGAAGCACCGGCUAACUACGUG
This 461-nucleotide ribosomal RNA is filed under the name uncultured bacterium. RNAcentral describes it as "partial 16S ribosomal RNA". It matches the Rfam family "Bacterial small subunit ribosomal RNA", at positions 29 to 507 of the family's 1533-position model. The record is from RNAcentral.